UAAACUUUUGAUCGGAUAUUGAAUACGCCUUCCCCAUGAACUGUUGCAGCAUCUGAAUUCCAGGCCUCUGGGAAGGCUUCAUCAGCCUGUGUUCCCAUCCAGACUGCAAGCAUAAUUUCACCUCUCACCUUUCCUUCUCCACGUCGGUCUUCAAGUCUAUACCACUGAGGAGCCAAGGGACUAUCAGGUGGGACUCGAGUCGGCACUUCAUUAAGAUCAAACAACACCUUCCCAAGCAAAUACCUGAUUCCAUUCGGGGUGUGUUUUCUUCUCGUAAUGUCUUGUUGUACCUUUAUAGUUUCCAAGCUUUACCUCCGCAUAAGGAUCACAGCUUCCAGUGAUGGCACUAGUAGGAAGGUCUUUGGCUUUGACAACUCGAACAUACAAAUAGUACAUUUGUUCGACGAGGUCGUAAGUGCUGGUAAUUUUGUCUCCACUCAUCCACCCCCCACCACCUCGUACGCCCCCAUUUGGCCAUCUUUCUCCAAGUCGGGGAUUCGUGUCCUUCAGUUUGAAGUCCUCUUGGUUAUUGGGAAUGGGUUGCUGGUUGUUCUGGUGCAUGGUUCCUGCUGGUUUCUCAGAAUCUUUUUCUUGUGUUGGUGGUACUCUCUCCGGUUCUUUGUGUUUAUGAUUAGUUUCUCCACAACAGCAACAGAAGCUUUAGAAGUAUCAGCUACAAAGAGCGAGAAUGUUAGUAAAUGACUUCUCAUUUCCCAAAGGAAAAAAAAAAGAGAAGAUUGCUAGUAUCAAGAAACCUGAAACUCAAUUCUGAAGCAAAGGUAAACUACUGAUAAGGUAACAGAAAGAAAGAGAAAAGAAUAAUUCGGGUUUCGGGUUUGUUUCUUUUUCGCUUUCU
Papaver somniferum (opium poppy) is the source of this 856-nucleotide long non-coding RNA. RefSeq lists it as uncharacterized. The record is from RefSeq and is a predicted model, not a curated record. The transcript is spliced from 3 exons. NCBI's taxonomy places the organism in Eukaryota, Viridiplantae, Streptophyta, Magnoliopsida, Ranunculales, Papaveraceae.